Molecule: RNA transcript, 274 nt
Organism: Zea mays
Lineage: Eukaryota; Viridiplantae; Streptophyta; Magnoliopsida; Poales; Poaceae
Exons: 4
Source: RefSeq, a predicted model, not a curated record
AGUUCCUUCAAGGUAACUCUGGUCUGUUCUUCACCAAUCUUCCAAGGGAUGAUGUUGAGAGGAUGUUUCGAGAAUUUGAGGAGCAUGAUUUUGCAAGGACAGGAUGUACUGCGGUAGAUACGGUUGAGCUUAAGGAAGGCCCUCUGGAACAGUUCACACAUGAGAUGGAGCCCUUUCUACGCAAGCAAGGACUUCCAGUUCGCUUGAACAAAGGUGUCGUAGAGUUAGUUGCAGACCAUGUAGUUUGUGAGGAAGGGAAGCCCCUUUCGCCCAG